Molecule: ribosomal RNA, 253 nt
Filed under: uncultured bacterium
Lineage: Bacteria
Description: partial 16S ribosomal RNA
Rfam family: Bacterial small subunit ribosomal RNA
Source: RNAcentral
GACGAAGGAUGCAAGCGUUAUCCGGAUUCAUUGGGCUUAAAGGGAGCGUAGGUGGCCUUAUAAGUCAGUGGUGAAAUCUUCGAGCUUAACUCGGAAAUUGCCAUUGAUACUGUAGGGCUUGAGUACAGUUGCUGUGGGCGGAAUAUGACAUGUAGUGGUGAAAUACAUAGAGAUGUCAUAGAACACCGAUUGCGAAGGCAGCUCACAAAACUGUAACUGACACUGAGGCUCGAAAGUGCGGGGAGCAAACAGG